GAUAUCUGAUUCUAUUUAUAUAGGAAAACUUUUUUUUUUGCCGUGUCGCCCCAUUUUUUUAUCACUUUUCGUCUGUUUGGUGACAUUAUCACGUUCUUAAGAUGAAGCCCCCUUGUGGGUAUAUGCCAUUAUGUUGAGACAUUGGCAACAAGAAGACUACACGUCAUGCGCUUGCAAGUAUACUUAGGAUUGUUAGCGGUGGUAUAGAACGUACAACGCUAUGAAACAAGGCACUUUUUCACAGGGCCGGAGAUAAGGCAUAGUGGUGCUGUGCCUUGAGGAGCCGAGUCCGUCCCGAAAUUCGCCCGGAUACAAAGAAAUGGACUACAGGCGUCCCGUUCUACAAUCCAGUGUAUUUGCUUUUAUUAUCUUCAUUUGCAUCGAUGCAGUUUUGACGUACGGCGUUCAGUCAAGAAAUCCGUGGAACGCCGCGAUGAUGCUGUCCGGCGCGACGAUUCAGGUCACUCCCGAAGUGUUCAGUGCUGGCGUGUUGGCAACACUGGCAUCAGGUUUCAAGGCAAAGGAACAAAGAGGCCUCGCCUACGAAGCCAGCUUCAGAGACCUGCAGAUUUCGCACACACUGGGUAUCCCGCUGUCUUCAACGGGCGUAAAGGUCUCGGUGUGGAUCAACUCCCUGAAGUGGCGCCUGGAAGUCCUUGUCGACGAUGCCACCGGUGAAACAACGUUCAGAGACUUUCAGGUCCUCCACCUCGGGCAUGUCACCGUGAAGACCGAAGGCUUGUGGUAUCUGGACUACGUUGUCGGCCCUUCAGUAAACGCUGUUUUGGCGAUAACUCACGAAACAAUACAGAGGAUAGGACAGAAUGUGGGUAGAAGCAAACUCCGGCAGUCUUUUUGACGGCAAAGUAUAUUUUAUUAGCGUCCUCCGGCCGAGAGUCAGCUAACGGCUGUUAGACUCGGCGCAAGAAAUUCGCCGCGUCAGCGUGGUCUCAUGUGCCCCUAUUGAUGUCAGCGGCGGCAUGAGGGGUCAAAAUUCUUUCAACUUUCGUCAAACGACUGAAGCUUUCAAGUGGUCUUUGCUCUCACUUGACAACGUGACUUCGAACGUUUUACUCGAAAUAUUUCGUAUUGUGUUCUUUUUCGCGGUUUUUUCCAGCGCGGCAUGCUCAACAAGCGGCAGCAGUUCUUGUAGGGAAGCCGUGUUGAUCAGCGUUGCGUCGAGCGGGAAGGCGUCUACAGGCUAUGGACAGCUUUUGUUUUGCGAUAUAGUUUAACCACUUCUUGAGGAAAAAAAAAAGUUAUAAUUCUCUCUAAGUUUGCCACAUAUAUAUCCGCACAACGACUGGAUAUUACAGGCAAUACAGUUAUACGUUUUCGUGAAA
This is a long non-coding RNA of Dermacentor albipictus, 1343 nucleotides long. RefSeq lists it as uncharacterized. The record is from RefSeq and is a predicted model, not a curated record. Lineage: Eukaryota; Metazoa; Arthropoda; Arachnida; Ixodida; Ixodidae.